GAAAUUUUUCCCACAGAUUUCUGUAUUCACUCUUCUGUUCUGUGCCUACACUUGGACCAUUCCCUGUCCAUGCUGCCAGAACUACAUUCAGAGAUGACUUGCUUGGAUGGUCUGGAAGGAGAAGCCAAUAUAUGCUGUAAAAAGCACCCAACUUCCUUCAACCAGCAGCAGACUGCAUCUGGAGUGAGCCACAUAGUGGCACCUACCUACCUCAUCACGGGCAUUUAUGAAGAGGCAUUCAAGAUGCAGUCAAGGCAACCAUGAUGAAGAGCACCGAACAAGUGGGUAACAAGGAUCAUCAUGGCUCAACACAAAAUAAUAUUUUAUAAGGGUACAAGAACAGCUCUUCCACCUUUUGCAGUUUCCCAGUCAUCUUUUAUGGAUGGAAUACCUGAAAACUGAAUGCAAGAGAAUCAGAGAAUUUCAGGAGUUGGAAGGGACAUCAAGAGAUCGAGUACAACUCCCCUUCUAAAGCAGGUUCCCUACAAUAAAUCACACAGGUAGGCACUGAGCUGGGUCUUGAAUAUCUCCAUAGAAGGAAACUCCACAGUGUCUCUAGGCAAGCUGUUCCAGUGCUCCAUCAUCCUUAUCAUAAAGAAGUUCUUCCACAUGUUUGUAUGGAAUUUCUUAUGUUCAAGUUUUAGGCCACUGUUCCUUGUCCUAUCACUACACACCACUGAGCCUGGCCUCAUCCGCUUGCCUCCCACCUCCCUUUAGAUAUUUAUGAAAAAGGAAAAAGGGAAUCCAACUCAGAUGGAGAGUUGAAAUAGCUGUACAGUUAACUUCCUCUGAAACUUCUCCUAUCUGAGAGGGCAGAGCAGAGGGCUUGGGACUGCAAGAUCCAGUGACAUAACUUGUGUAAACCCUGUGCAUUCUGGGCUUUUAGGCUUACUGCAAGAUGCAGGCAGUCUCAUUGAAAACACAUGAAGAAAGCAAGUCUCCACCAAACAACUACCGAAAAGCAAUGGUUGCUCUAGGGCAUUGCCUAAACAGUAUUACUGUCUACUAGCAGUAUUCAAAAUUGGGAAGUAUUUCCCCAGCCUAGCAAAGCACGUAAGCACAUGGUUAAUAACACACAGUGUAAUAGUUCCAGGGACUCCAAUCAAAUUAAGCUAUGUGCUUACAAGCUCUGCUGAACUGGAACCAGAUUGCAUUAGCUUGCUUUAACCUCUCCACAG
Molecule: long non-coding RNA, 1178 nt
Organism: Gallus gallus (chicken)
Lineage: Eukaryota; Metazoa; Chordata; Aves; Galliformes; Phasianidae
Source: Ensembl